Molecule: ribosomal RNA, 243 nt
Filed under: uncultured bacterium
Lineage: Bacteria
Description: partial 16S ribosomal RNA
Rfam family: Bacterial small subunit ribosomal RNA
Source: RNAcentral
AGAGUUUGAUCCUGGCUCAGGAUGAACGCUAGCGACAGGCCUAACACAUGCAAGUCGAGGGGCAGCGGAGAGGUAGCAAUACCUUUGCCGGCGACCGGCGCACGGGUGAGUAACACGCAUGCAAUCCACCUGUAACAGGGGGAUAACCCGGAGAAAUCCGGACUAAUACCCCAUAAUAUGGGCGCUCCGCAUGGAGAGCCCAUUAAAGAGAGCAAUUUUGGUUACAGACGAGCAUGCGCUCUA